GUGUCAUUAGCUAGUUGGUGAGGUAACGGCUCACCAAGGCAACGAUGACUAGGGGAUCUGAGAGGAUGACCCCCCACACUGGUACUGAGACACGGACCAGACUCCUACGGGAGGCAGCAGUAAGGAAUAUUGGACAAUGGGGGCAACCCUGAUCCAGCCAUGCCGCGUGCAGGAAGACGGCCCUAUGGGUUGUAAACUGCUUUUGUCGGGGAAGAAACCCUUCUACGUGUAGGAGGUUGACGGUACUCGAAGAAUAAGGAUCGGCUAACUCCGUGCCAGCAGCCGCGGUAAUACGGAGGAUCCGAGCGUUAUCCGGAUUUAUUGGGUUUAAAGGGUGCGUAGGUGGCUUUGUAAGUCAGUGGUGAAAGUUUUCAGCUUAACUGGAAAAUUGCCAUUGAUACUGCAGGGCUUGAGUGCAGAUGAGGUAGGCGGAAUGUGUCAUGUAGCGGUGAAAUGCAUAGAUAUGACACAGAACACCGAUUGCGAAGGCAGCUUACUAAACUGUAACUGACACUGAGGCACGAAAGCGUGGGGAUCAAACAGGAUUAGAUACCCUGGUAGUCCACGCCCUAAACGAUGAUCACUCGAUGUGUGCGAUAUACAGUACGCGUCCAAGCGAAAGCGUUAAGUGAUCCACCUGGGGAGUACGCCGGCAACGGUGAAACUCAAAGGAAUUGACGGGGGCCCGCACAAGCGGAGGAGCAUGUGGUUUAAUUCGAUGAUACGCGAAGAACCUUACCCGGGCUUGAAAGUUA
This 755-nucleotide ribosomal RNA is filed under the name uncultured Bacteroidota bacterium. Its description in RNAcentral is "bacterial SSU rRNA". It matches the Rfam family "Bacterial small subunit ribosomal RNA", at positions 235 to 990 of the family's 1533-position model. Lineage: Bacteria; Pseudomonadati; Bacteroidota. The record is from RNAcentral.